Molecule: ribosomal RNA, 500 nt
Filed under: uncultured Glomeromycotina
Lineage: Eukaryota; Fungi; Glomeromycota
Description: partial small subunit ribosomal RNA
Rfam family: Eukaryotic small subunit ribosomal RNA
Source: RNAcentral
CCAAUAGCGUAUAUUAAAGUUGUUGCAGUUAAAAAGCUCGUAGUUGAAUUUCGGGAUCAAUGGGUUGGUCAUGCCCUCGGUAUGUACUGAUUUCAUUGGUUCUCACCUUCUAAGGAACCAUGAUGUCAUUCGUUUGAUGUUGUGGGGAAUUAGGACUGUUACCUUGAAAAAAUUAGAGUGUUUAAAGCAGGCUAACGCUUGAAUACAUUAGCAUGGAAUAAUGAAAUAGGACAUCCGAUUCUAUUUUGUUGGUUUCUAGGAUCGAUGUAAUGAUUAAUAGGGAUAGUUGGGGGCAUUAGUAUUCAAUUGUCGGAGGUGAAAUUCUUGGAUUUAUUGAAGACUAACUACUGCGAAAGCAUUUGCCAAGGAUGUUUUCAUUAAUCAAGAACGAAAGUUAGGGGAUCGAAGACGAUCAGAUACCGUCGUAGUCUUAACCAUAAACUAUGCCGACUAGGGAUCGGAUGAUGCUUAUUUUUUAAUGACUCAUUCGGCACCUUACG